AGAGUUUGAUUAUGGCUCAGAAUGAACGCUGGCGGCGUGCUUAACACAUGCAAGUCGAGCGAGAAAAGGGGCAACCCUUAGUAAAGCGGCGGACGGGUGAGUAACACGUGAGUAACCUGCCCGGAUGUGGGGGAUACCUUGCCGAAAGGUGAGUUAAUACCGCAUACGAUCAUCUGGUCCUUGGACCGAAUGAUGAAAGCGGGGCCGCAAGGCCUCGCGCUUCCGGAGGGACUCGCGCCCGAUUAGCUAGUUGGUGGGGUUACGGCUCACCAAGGCAUCGAUCGGUAGCCGGCCUGAGAGGGUGUACGGCCACACUGGAACUGAGACACGGUCCAGACUCCUACGGGAGGCAGCAGUGGGGAAUCUUGCGCAAUGGGCGAAAGCCUGACGCAGCAACGCCGCGUGGAGGAUUAAGGUCUUCGGAUUGUAAACUCCUGUCGAGCGGGAAGAAAGAUCCAGGUGCUAAUACCACCCGGGUUGACUUACCGCAGAGAGCCCG
This 499-nucleotide ribosomal RNA is filed under the name uncultured bacterium. RNAcentral's name for it is "bacterial SSU rRNA". It matches the Rfam family "Bacterial small subunit ribosomal RNA", at positions 8 to 495 of the family's 1533-position model. The record is from RNAcentral.